CCGAGUUUUACAUGUCUUAUUCCACUGAUAAAGAAGUUCGGCCACGAGACAUGAAUGAUAAACAGACACUAAAAAGAUGAUUAUCGUAGCAUGGUGAGAAGUCAUUUGAAGUUUUAAUGGCGUAAACACACGUCGGUAUCGGUCGCUUGAUAGUCCCAUUAAAAUGAAGAUCGACGACAGUGCAAAAAGGUUGUUACAGGCGCGAAAAAAUUUACAUGCCCACAUGUUGUAAAACGUAUAUUGAAAUCGCAUCUCUGUUAUCUCAAAAGGCAGAGUUACAGCACAGACAAAUAAAUCUGAAAGUGCCAGACCAAUGAUAAAUGUACGGUGAGUACUCUUCUGAAAUCUGAUGGGAUAAACAAUCAGAACCAAAACAUUGCCUGGUAUUCCAAUUAACAUUAGAAGUACAAGAUAGAUCAUUGGUGCCAGUCUUCGUAAAGCUUCUUCAUCAUUGUAAUCCUGUAAAGUUUUGUUUAAGUCGAGAUCUGUUAUGUUGGUUAAAUUAUAGUCAGUGAUUGUUGUUGAAUUAUCCAUGAUUUGUGAUUACAACUGUACUGUAUAUUAUACACAUAAAAUAAGAUGUCCAAACUGUCACUAAGAAAUUUUUUUCUUGGAUAUUUCUUUCUUUUAAGACUACGUUAUAACGUCAAUAAAUGUAAACAUUUAUGAAUGGACAUACACAAGACUAAGUUAAUAGUAUCCAUUUAUGGCGCAUUGUCAAACUUAUAAGCGGAUGACAACAAUUAAAACAAUCCCAAGUGGAAGGAUGAUAGUUAGAAUUAGUAAAUUUUCCGAUGAGGAAGUCACUUGUUAUAUGUACGCAUUUGCCAUAGUUUGAUUAUAUAAUGAAGGAA
This 854-nucleotide long non-coding RNA is filed under the name Mytilus galloprovincialis (Mediterranean mussel). Lineage: Eukaryota; Metazoa; Mollusca; Bivalvia; Mytilida; Mytilidae. The record is from RNAcentral.